AUCCCUGCGCCUCAAGUGGUGACCAUGUUUAUUGGGCCUAAAGGAUCCGUAGCCGGACUAUUAAGUCCCUUGUGAAAUCGUGCAGCUUAACUGUACGGCGUGCAAGGGAUACUGAUAGUCUAGGGACCGGGAGGGGCCGAGGGUAUUCCUGGGGUAAGGGUUAAAUCUUAUAAUCCCAGGAGGACCAACGGUGGCGAAGGCGCUCGGCUAGAACGGGUCCGACGGUGAAUGGAUGAAAGCUGGGGGAGCGAAACGGAUUAGAUACCCCAGUAGUCC
Molecule: ribosomal RNA, 276 nt
Filed under: uncultured bacterium
Lineage: Bacteria
Description: partial 16S ribosomal RNA
Rfam family: Archaeal small subunit ribosomal RNA
Source: RNAcentral